CACGAUGAACUGUUAAACAUCAUGUAUGUAUGUAUGUUAUCAGUGCAGAGCAAGUCUUUACGGGGCCUCCUGGAUGUAAACAUUCACGAGAGGCAUUGUGGGAAGGCCAGAGAAUAGCGAAAUCAAAUUGUGAUGUGUACAUUUUAUCACCGUAUGUAGACAUGUAUAUUCAUUGUACAGCUACGAGCACAUGAACUGCCCUCGAUUACGCACUUGGAGCAUUAGUCAAUACUAACGAAGGAUAUAUUGUUGUCUGAAUCGUUUAUUAUGUUUCGACUACGAGAAAAUUCUGACGGUCAUAUUUGCGAUGGAUUGAUAAACACGUGCAGAUAUAUUUAUAAACUGUCCCCAGUGAUAUUGUAACUAGUAAGAAAAAGUUAAUGGUGACACUUUAAUGUGUGAUGGAAUUGGACGUUGCUAAAAAGGUGCGCAUGAUGCAACUUCCUGGAUGGUGUGUAGUCUGUUUGUCAACAUGUGAAACCCACGUGUAUUUUGAGGAGUAGCCUCCCCUGUUAAAGAUCAAUAAUGGUGGAUAAACAAUGCAGGGUGCUGUCAUGUCAUCAACAGAGAGUUUUGACACCUGUAUACCCGUAUUUCUACCAAUCACCUCUGUAACCUUUGUUGUGUUCAUCAGACAGAUGAUGGACCACUUUACUUCCUUUUACAACAGGUGCCCCUACAGAUUCACAAAGUUCCAAUGUUGAUUUUCCAUGACCCCCAUUCAUCCGCGACAGGAAAAGGAAUGAAGUUGACAGGAUUUCCCGCACUGUCCUUGGUAGCAGCUUAUGAUAGAACGGACAGCAGUAGACAUAGCCCGCUUCAUCAAAGGUACGUCUCCGGAGUAGUGUUUGUAGCAAUUCUCGUACUCUGUCCUACUUCGAAGCUUCAGAUCUAAGGCAAAUCUCUGCAUGUAUUCUUUUAUGGCUUUGGAUCUUCCGGGAAACAUGUGACUGCUGAACAGCGCCUUAGCUGUCUGUUUUCUUUGAGAGUCAAAGAAAUGACGCAAGUCUUUAAGGUUUUCGAUGACAU
Ostrea edulis (European flat oyster) is the source of this 1029-nucleotide long non-coding RNA. RefSeq lists it as uncharacterized. NCBI's taxonomy places the organism in Eukaryota, Metazoa, Mollusca, Bivalvia, Ostreida, Ostreidae. The transcript has 5 exons. The record is from RefSeq and is a predicted model, not a curated record.